GGAAAAAUAAAAAGGUCUCUCCCACAAUCCCACGUUUCCCCCAUUCUUUUCUUCCUAGGCUUGAAUUGCAAGCGUCUGAGAAAAGAAACCAACCUCCUCCUCCUGCAACUCGAAGGAUUCUUUGCGGCAGCAACAAAUAACAACCUCAGAUGCUGCAUUUUGUAUUAAUCAAGGAUCGUAUGGUUGCUCAUGAAUCCAUUGUGAAACAGGUUAUUAAUUCAAAGUGUCGGUCUCAUUUCUUAUACCUUUUUGAGCCAUACAGGUCAUGACAGAAUAGUAAUUCCUAUGAUUGAUAAUAUUUCUGUGGAUGUCACUGUGGACUUUCUUGCAUGGAUAUAGGUGGAUAUUGAAUUCAACACAUCAAUUUGAAAAUUUAGAAGAAGGCUAUCACAUUCUACGGAGGAGCAAUUUUCGCAUAAUCUUUCAAUGCUCCUGUUGUGAUCUCCUUGUAAAAGCGAAAACUAAAUUGAUUGAGAAAUCCGAUGCGGAGGUUUGUGGAUGAUGCUACAAAUCUGUCAUUUCUUCUCACUAUGCUUCUUCUAGUACAAACUUCAAAUUUGUCAAAAUUUGGAGAUACUUGCCAGACACUAUUGAUGUUGUGGGUGGGAGUCAGCAGAGGUCCUCGGGAUGCAAGUUUUAGAGAACUUGUUCACCGUCUGAUUAUCUGUUGGUUGAGUUUGUUAAUUCACGAUGAAGAAGAUGAAUUUAUAAGAGAACACUUUCAAGCCCUCUGCUGUAACAUAUAUAUCCUAAAUCAUAUAUCAAUGUAUAACUGAUCCGCUUUGCUAAGCCGGAAAAGAAAACAAGGCAAGGAUAUAGUCAUCUGUCUAAGUAUACUCACUGAUGGGAUAGUUCAUCAUUAAGUUAUAUUGAUAGUCAGGUUAUUGUUAUGAAAUAAUGGUGUGAACUGCACUGAUAUGGUGUGAUUGUUGUAAAUUAUAGUGCACAAACCAAUCUUAAUUUUCACUGGUCUAAAUUUUGGCAACUUGUAAAAUUAAAGCAUAUUCACCUUUUUAAUUAACUUGUACACAAUUUAAUGCAAUUCAUGUGAAUGGAGAUUUAUAAAA
This is a long non-coding RNA of Papaver somniferum (opium poppy), 1067 nucleotides long. RefSeq lists it as uncharacterized. The record is from RefSeq and is a predicted model, not a curated record. NCBI's taxonomy places the organism in Eukaryota, Viridiplantae, Streptophyta, Magnoliopsida, Ranunculales, Papaveraceae. The transcript is spliced from 7 exons.